AGGCACCGGCCUACUUCGUGCCAGCAGUCGCGGUAUUACGGAGGGUGCCAAGCGUUAUCUGGAUUAUUGGGUUAAGGGUCCGUAGGCGGGACUGAUAGUCAGUGUGAAAUCCGACAGCUUAAACUGUCGAAACUGCCAUUGAUACUGUUAGUCUUGAGUAAGGGUUGAAAGUGGCUGGAAUAAGUAGUGUAGCGGUGAAAUGCAUAGAUAUUACUUAGAACACCAAUUGCGAAGGCAGGUCACUAAGUCUUAACUGACGCUGAUGGACGAAAGCGUGGGGAGCGAACAGGAUUAGAUACCCUGGUAGUCCACGCCGUAAACGAUGAUUACUCGUUUUUGGGUUUUAUGAUUCAGAGACUAAGCGAAAGUGAUAAGUAAUCCACCUGGGGAGUACGUUCGCAAGAAUGAAACUCAAAGGAAUUGACGGGGGCCCGCACAAGCGGUGGAGCAUGUGGUUUAAUUCGAUGAUACGCGAGGAACCUUACCAAGACUUAAAUGGGAAAUGACAGAUUUAGAAAUAGAUCCUUCUUCGGACAUUUUUCAAGGUGCUGCAUGGUUGUCGUCAGCUCGUGCCGUGAGGUGUUAGGUUAAGUCCUGCAACGAGCGCAACCCCUGUCACUAGUUGCUAACAUUAAGUUGAGGACUCUAGUGAGACUGCCUACGCAAGUAGAGAGGAAGGUGGGGAUGACGUCAAAUCAUCACGGCCCUUACGUCUUGGGCCACACACGUGCUACAAUGGCCGGUACAGAGGGCAGCUACCUAGUGAUAGGAUGCAAAUCUCGAAAGCCGGUCUCAGUUCGGAUUGGAGUCUGCAACUCGACUCUAUGAAGCUGGAAUCGCUAGUAAUCGCGCAUCAGCCAUGGCGCGAUGGGG
RNAcentral lists this ribosomal RNA (873 nucleotides) under Elizabethkingia meningoseptica. Its description in RNAcentral is "bacterial SSU rRNA". It matches the Rfam family "Bacterial small subunit ribosomal RNA", at positions 488 to 1367 of the family's 1533-position model. The record is from RNAcentral. Lineage: Bacteria; Pseudomonadati; Bacteroidota; Flavobacteriia; Flavobacteriales; Weeksellaceae.